AACAAACGCUGGCGGCGUGCCUAACACAUGCAAGUCGAACGAGAAAGUCGGUUUCGGCCGAUGAGUAAAGUGGCGCACGGGUGAGUAACGCGUGGAUAAUCUACCCUUUAGUCCGGAAUAACUUGCCGAAAGGUGAACUAAUACCGGAUGACAUCCCGGGUUCUCCGGAAACCGGGAUCAAAGAAGGCCUCUGCUUGCAAGCUUUUGCUGAAGGAUGAGUCCGCGUACCAUUAGCUAGUUGGUGGGGUAAUGGCCUACCAAGGUUAUGAUGGUUAGCUGGUCUGAGAGGAUGAUCAGCCACACUGGAACUGAGACACGGUCCAAACUCCUACGGGAGGCAGCAGUGGGGAAUAUUGCACAAUGGGCGAAAGCCUGAUGCAGCAACGCCGCGUGAGCGAGGAAGGCCUUUGGGUCGUAAAGCUCUGUCGAGGAGGAAGAUAAUGACGGUACUCCUCGAGGAAGCCCCGGCUAACUACGUG
This 479-nucleotide ribosomal RNA is filed under the name uncultured bacterium. RNAcentral describes it as "bacterial SSU rRNA". It matches the Rfam family "Bacterial small subunit ribosomal RNA", at positions 29 to 507 of the family's 1533-position model. The record is from RNAcentral.